AACGAACGCUGGCGGCAUGCCUAACACAUGCAAGUCGAACGAAGCCUUCGGGCUUAGUGGCGCACGGGUGCGUAACACGUGGGAAUCUGCCCUUCGGUUCGGAAUAACAGUUAGAAAUGACUGCUAAUACCGGAUGAUGACGAAAGUCCAAAGAUUUAUCGCCGAAGGAUGAGCCCGCGUAGGAUUAGGUAGUUGGUAGGGUAAUGGCCUACCAAGCCGACGAUCCUUAGCUGGUCUGAGAGGAUGAUCAGCCACACUGGGACUGAGACACGGCCCAGACUCCUACGGGAGGCAGCAGUGGGGAAUAUUGGACAAUGGGCGAAAGCCUGAUCCAGCAAUGCCGCGUGAGUGAUGAAGGCCUUAGGGUUGUAAAGCUCUUUUACCAGGGAUGAUAAUGACAGUACCUGGAGAAUAAGCUCCGGCUAACUCCGUGCCAGCAG
Molecule: ribosomal RNA, 440 nt
Filed under: uncultured bacterium
Lineage: Bacteria
Description: bacterial SSU rRNA
Rfam family: Bacterial small subunit ribosomal RNA
Source: RNAcentral